Molecule: transfer RNA, 71 nt
Filed under: Compsorhipis davidiana
Lineage: Eukaryota; Metazoa; Arthropoda; Insecta; Orthoptera; Acrididae
Description: tRNA-Lys
Source: RNAcentral
CAUCAGAUGACUGAAAGUAAGUAAUGGUCUCUUAAACCAAAAUAUAGUAAAUUAACAUUUACUUCUGAUGG